UGUGAGCUCGAUGAGUAGGGCGGGACACGUGGUAUCCUGUCUGAAUAUGGGGGGACCAUCCUCCAAGGCUAAAUACUCCUGACUGACCGAUAGUGAACCAGUACCGUGAGGGAAAGGCGAAAAGAACCCCGGCGAGGGGAGUGAAAAAGAACCUGAAACCGUGUACGUACAAGCAGUGGGAGCACGCUUAGGCGUGUGACUGCGUACCUUUUGUAUAAUGGGUCAGCGACUUAUAUUCUGUAGCAAGGUUAACCGAAUAGGGGAGCCGAAGGGAAACCGAGUCUUAACUGGGCGUUAAGUUGCAGGGUAUAGACCCGAAACCCGGUGAUCUAGCCAUGGGCAGGUUGAAGGUUGGGUAACACUAACUGGAGGACCGAACCGACUAAUGUUGAAAAAUUAGCGGAUGACUUGUGGCUGGGGGUGAAAGGCCAAUCAAACCGGGAGAUAGCUGGUUCUCCCCGAAAGCUAUUUAGGUAGCGCCUCGUGAAUUCAUCUCCGGGGGUAGAGCACUGUUUCGGCAAGGGGGUCAUCCCGACUUACCAACCCGAUGCAAACUGCGAAUACCGGAGAAUGUUAUCACGGGAGACACACGGCGGGUGCUAACGUCCGUCGUGAAGAGGGAAACAACCCAGACCGCCAGCUAAGGUCCCAAAGUCAUGGUUAAGUGGGAAACGAUGUGGGAAGGCCCAGACAGCCAGGAUGUUGGCUUAGAAGCAGCCAUCAUUUAAAGAAAGCGUAAUAGCUCACUGGUCGAGUCGGCCUGCGCGGAAGAUGUAACGGGGCUAAACCAUGCACCGAAGCUGCGGCAGCGACGCUUAUGCGUUGUUGGGUAGGGGAGCGUUCUGUAAGCCUGCGAAGGUGUGCUGUGAGGCAUGCUGGAGGUAUCAGAAGUGCGAAUGCUGACAUAAGUAACGAUAAAGCGGGUGAAAAGCCCGCUCGCCGGAAGACCAAGGGUUCCUGUCCAACGUUAAUCGGGGCAGGGUGAGUCGACCCCUAAGGCGAGGCCGAAAGGCGUAGUCGAUGGGAAACAGGUUAAUAUUCCUGUACUUGGUGUUACUGCGAAGGGGGGACGGAGAAGGCUAUGUUGGCCGGGCGACGGUUGUCCCGGUUUAAGCGUGUAGGCUGGUUUUCCAGGCAAAUCCGGAAAAUCAAGGCUGAGGCGUGAUGACGAGGCACUACGGUGCUGAAGCAACAAAUGCCCUGCUUCCAGGAAAAGCCUCUAAGCAUCAGGUAACAUCAAAUCGUACCCCAAACCGACACAGGUGGUCAGGUAGAGAAUACCAAGGCGCUUGAGAGAACUCGGGUGAAGGAACUAGGCAAAAUGGUGCCGUAACUUCGGGAGAAGGCACGCUGAUAUGUAGGUGA
Molecule: ribosomal RNA, 1365 nt
Filed under: Escherichia coli
Lineage: Bacteria; Pseudomonadati; Pseudomonadota; Gammaproteobacteria; Enterobacterales; Enterobacteriaceae
Description: bacterial LSU rRNA
Rfam family: Bacterial large subunit ribosomal RNA
Source: RNAcentral